CCUACGGGUGGCAGCAGUCGAGAAUCUUUCUCAAUGGGGUAAACCCUGAUGGUGCGACGCCGCGUGGAGGAAUGCAGGUCUUCGGAUUGUAAACCCCUGUCAUGUGGGAGUAAAUUAAAAAGAUAGUACCACUUUAGGAAGAGACGGCUAACUCUGUGCCAGCAGCCGCGGUAAUACAGAGGUCUCAAGCGUUGUACGGAGUCACUGGGCGGAAAGCGUGCGUAGGCGGGUUCGGAAGUCGUGUGUGAAAGGGGGGGGCUCAACACGAGAACGGCACAUGACAAUGGGCGACUAGAGUACAGGUGAGGGAGGCGGAAUUCGUGGUGUAGCGGGGAAAUGCUUAGAUAUCACGAAGAACACUGAUGGAGAAGGCAGGUU
Molecule: ribosomal RNA, 378 nt
Filed under: uncultured bacterium
Lineage: Bacteria
Description: partial 16S ribosomal RNA
Rfam family: Bacterial small subunit ribosomal RNA
Source: RNAcentral